Molecule: ribosomal RNA, 478 nt
Filed under: uncultured bacterium
Lineage: Bacteria
Description: partial 16S ribosomal RNA
Rfam family: Bacterial small subunit ribosomal RNA
Source: RNAcentral
GAUGAACGCUGGCGGCGUGCUUAACACAUGCAAGUCGAACGAGAAGUGAAGACGGAAACCUUCUGGCGGAAGGCUUUAUUUCGAGUGGCGGACGGGGGAGUAACGCGUGGGUAACCUGCCUCAUACAGGGGGAUAACAGUUGGAAACGACUGUUAAUACCGCAUAAGACCACAGCACCGCAUGGUGCGGGGGUAAAAACUCCGGUGGUAUGAGAUGGACCCGCGUUCGAUUAGCCAGUUGGCGGGGUAACGGCCCACCAAAGCGACGAUCGAUAGCCGAUCUGAGAGGAUGACCGGCCACAUUGGGACUGAGACACGGCCCAAACUCCUACGGGAGGCAGCAGUGGGGAAUAUUGCACAAUGGGGGAAAACGUGAUGCAGCGACGCCGCGUGAGUGAAGAAGUAUUUCGGUAUGUAAAGCUCUAUCAGCAGGGAAGAAAAUGACGGUACCUGAGUAAGAAGCCCCGGCUAACUACGUG